Molecule: transfer RNA, 72 nt
Filed under: Paracercomonas marina
Lineage: Eukaryota; Cercozoa; Cercomonadida; Cercomonadidae
Description: tRNA-Gln
Rfam family: tRNA
About the family: Transfer RNA (tRNA) molecules are approximately 80 nucleotides in length.
Source: RNAcentral
UGAGCGAUCGUUCAAUUAGUAGGACCUUCGGCUUUGAACCGAAUAAUGAAGGUGCAAUUCCUUCUCGCCCAA